GCCCAGACUCCUACGGGAGGCAGCAGUGGGGAAUAUUGCACAAUGGGGGAAACCCUGAUGCAGCGACGCCGCGUGAGCGAUGAAGUAUUUCGGUAUGUAAAGCUCUAUCAGCAGGGAAGAAGAUGACGGUACCUGACUAAGAAGCCCCGGCUAACUACGUGCCGGCAGCCGCGGUAAUACGUAGGGGGCAAGCGUUAUCCGGAUUUACUGGGUGUAAAGGGAGCGUAGACGGCGAUGCAAGCCAGAUGUGAAAGCCCGGGGCUCAACCCCGGGACUGCAUUUGGAACUGUGUGGCUGGAGUGUCGGAGAGGCAGGCGGAAUUCCUAGUGUAGCGGUGAAAUGCGUAGAUAUUAGGAGGAACACCAGUGGCGAAGGCGGCCUGCUGGACGAUGACUGACGUUGAGGCUCGAAAGCGUGGGGAGCAAACAGGAUUAGAUACCCUGGUAU
This 447-nucleotide ribosomal RNA is filed under the name uncultured bacterium. Its description in RNAcentral is "bacterial SSU rRNA". It matches the Rfam family "Bacterial small subunit ribosomal RNA", at positions 329 to 793 of the family's 1533-position model. The record is from RNAcentral.